This 148-nucleotide non-coding RNA is filed under the name Nomascus leucogenys (northern white-cheeked gibbon). Lineage: Eukaryota; Metazoa; Chordata; Mammalia; Primates; Hylobatidae. The record is from Rfam by way of RNAcentral.
GCCGGGCAUGGUGGCGCAUGCCUGUAAUCCCAGCUACUCAGGAGGCUGAGGCAGGAGAAUCGCUUGAACCCAGGAGGUGGAGGUUGCAGUGAACCAAGAUCACGCCACUGUGCUCCAGCCUGGGUGACGGAGCAAAACUCUGCCUCAA